UACGUAGGGUGCGAGCGUUGUCCGGAAUUACUGGGCGUAAAGAGCUCGUAGGCGGUUUGUCGCGUCGUCUGUGAAAACUCGCAGCUCAACUGUGGGCGUGCAGGCGAUACGGGCAGACUUGAGUACUGCAGGGGAGACUGGAAUUCCUGGUGUAGCGGUGAAAUGCGCAGAUAUCAGGAGGAACACCGGUGGCGAAGGCGGGUCUCUGGGCAGUAACUGACGCUGAGGAGCGAAAGCGUGGGUAGCAAACAGG
This 253-nucleotide ribosomal RNA is filed under the name uncultured bacterium. RNAcentral describes it as "partial 16S ribosomal RNA". It matches the Rfam family "Bacterial small subunit ribosomal RNA", at positions 524 to 776 of the family's 1533-position model. The record is from RNAcentral. RNAcentral also lists the same sequence under 1 other name.